CAACCCGCUCUCAACGCGAGUCCCUAUUCAACACGAAAGCAGGCGAAAGCUUUGGGUAGGAAACUCACCAGAGCUGCGAGAGCUAAUAAAGCCGAUGGCAGGCAAAGUGCCAAGCUCGUGCAUAACUCGACGUCCAGGCAAGCAGACCGCAGACCGCGCCGGGUGCAAGGACAACUCGGAUAAAGCAAUAAAAACAAAACGACCAUUUCAUAAUAGAAUUAAAAACUGUUGCGGUUGGGCAUAGUCCCAUAACUCACACGCCCCUUAAUGGCAGGACUCCUACAUAUAUGAAGUGAACCACACAUCAAUUGCUGCCGUAGUUAAUUGCUAUGUGAAUGCACUCAAGCAACAUUUAAUAAUAAACAGAAUACCCCUGGCGUCAGUGAGGACUAAGUGAAAGUUAAGUUGUAUUUAAGGAUUGGCAACAUUUAAGAGAGUAAAGUGCACUCUUGCUUUGCCCCAUUCCUUUGUGUUCCUGGUUACCACCCACAACCCACGGCACACAACUCAUUCCCACAACUGUUGGGAGGGUUCAUUGACUACCAUUAAAGGUGGAACGAUACGGAUACGAUGAAGUCAUGCUACUACCGCUUAUGAGCAAACCCCCACUGUAGAGGGAAUAGGGAAAUGU
Molecule: long non-coding RNA, 631 nt
Organism: Drosophila guanche
Lineage: Eukaryota; Metazoa; Arthropoda; Insecta; Diptera; Drosophilidae
Exons: 3
Source: RefSeq, a predicted model, not a curated record